GUGUCAGCCGCCGCGGUAAUACGUAGGGUGCGAGCGUUAAUCGGAAUUACUGGGCGUAAAGUGUGCGCAGGCGGCCAUGCAAGUCGAGUGUGAAAGCCCCGGGCUUAACUUGGGAAUUGCGCUCGAAACUACGUGGCUGGAGUGUGGCAGAGGAAGGUGGAAUUCCACGUGUAGCGGUGAAAUGCGUAGAGAUGUGGAGGAACACCAAUGGCGAAGGCAGCCUUCUGGGCCAACACUGACGCUCAUGCACGAAAGCGUGGGGAGCAAACAGGAUUAGAAACCCCGGUAGUCC
Molecule: ribosomal RNA, 292 nt
Filed under: uncultured bacterium
Lineage: Bacteria
Description: partial 16S ribosomal RNA
Rfam family: Bacterial small subunit ribosomal RNA
Source: RNAcentral